Molecule: long non-coding RNA, 2559 nt
Organism: Panthera uncia (snow leopard)
Lineage: Eukaryota; Metazoa; Chordata; Mammalia; Carnivora; Felidae
Exons: 3
Source: RefSeq, a predicted model, not a curated record
AGGCUUCAUGCCCAACAUGGGGCUUGAACUCAUGACCCUGAGAUGUGAGUCACACGCUCUACCGACUGAGCCACUCAGAACAAAAAGUUCAGAGAAAGACAAGUUGCUGGCAUUGGCUCAACACAUCAAGAAUGUCAGGGUCUAGGUUUCUUGGACUUUUCCUCGUUGAUAAAACAUAGCUGCUACAUCUCCAGUCCUCUCAUCUGUGAUCCAGGGAGGAAGGCCAGGUACAGGAUGGGCAGAAAAAUGAUGUAUCUCCUACAGCCUCUUCAUUCUUCAAAAUGAACAUGAGAAUCAAUACACCAAUCAAGAACAAAGGUUCUUGGACAGACUUGCAUCUAAAUUCCAACUCUACUAUUAAAAACCAUGGUACUUUAACCUAAAUGUAAGACAGGAAGCCAUCAAAAUCCUCGAGGAGAAAGCAGGCAAAAACCUCUUUGAUCUUGGCCGCAGCAACUUCUUACUCAACACGUCUCCAGAGGCAAGAGAAACAAAAGCAAAAAUGAACUAUUGGGACCUUACCAAAAUAGAGCUUCUGCACAGCAAAGGAAACAAUCAGCAAAACUAAAAGGCAACCGAUGGAAUGGUAGAGAUAUUUGCAAAUGACCUAUCAGAUAAAGGGUUAAUAUCCAAAAUCUACAGAGAACUUAUCAAACUCAACACACAAAAAACAAAUAAUCCAGUCAAGAAAUGGGCAGAAAUGGACAUCAAUAGACACUUCUCCAAAGAACACAUCCAGAUGGCCAACCAACACAUGAAAAAAUGCUCCACAUCACUCAUCAUCAGGGAAAUACAAAUCAAAACCACAAUGAGAUAUCACCUCAUACCUGUCAGAAUGGCUAACAUUAACAACUCAGGCAACAACAGAUGCUGGUAAAGAUGUGGAGAAAGACUAUCUCUUUUGCACUGCUGGUGGGAAUGCAAAUAGGUGCAGCCACUGUGGCAAACAGUAUAGAGGUUCCUCAAAAAACUAAAAACAGAACUACCCUACGACCCAGCAAUUGCACUACUAGGUAUUUAUCCAAGGGAUACAGGUAUGUUGUUUUGAAGGGACACAUGCACCCCAAUGAUAGCAGCACUAUCAACAAUAGCCAAAGUAUGGAAAGACACCAAAUGUCCAUUGAUGGAUGAAUGGAUAAAGAAGAUGUGGUAUAUAUAUACAAUGGAGUAUUACUCAGCAAUCAAAAAGAAUGAAAUCUUGCCAUUUGCAACUACGUGGAUGGAACUAGAGGGUAUUCUGCUAAGCGAAAUUAGAGAAAGACAAAUAUCAUAUGACCUUACUUAUAUGAGGACUUUAAGACCUAUAACACAUGAACACAAGGGAAGGGAAGCAAAAAGAAUAUAAAAACAGGGAGGGAGACAAAACAUAAGAGACACUUAAAUAUGGAGAAUAGAGGGUUACUGGAGGGGUUGUGGGAGGGGGAUGGCCUAAUGGGUAAGGGGCAUUGCCUAAUGGGUAAGGGGCAUUAAGGAAUCUACUCCUGAAAUCACUGUUGCACUAUUUGCUAAAUUGAAUGUAAAUUAAAAAACAAACAACAAAAAACAAACAAAAAAACCCAUGCGACUUUAAAAUUGUUUAAAAACUAAGACCUAACACGUUUCUUUCUGAAAACAGCAAACACUGUCUGCUACAUAGAAUUGAUCUGAAGGUUAAAAGAAGUAACAUGUAAAGGGCUUAGCAUAGAGCCUCACAGAUUAAGCACUCUGGUAUUUGACAAAUAAUAGUACUGUCCACUAAAAAAAUUCCUUUGUGACAACUGCAUUAGAUCUAUAAAACAGUAAGAAAAAUCUGGCACAGAAUUAGCAUUAAGUAUGUAUCAGUUGAUACACUAUCAAUAAAGAGGUUAUUUAAAAUUCACCACGAUAGGGGCACCUGGCUGGCUCAGUCAAUAAAGCAUGCGACUCUUUAUCUCAGGGUUAAUUUGAGCCCUAUGUUGGGUGUAGGGAUUACUUAAAAAUAAAAUCUUAAAAAAGUCAUCAGGACAAUUGCAUUAAACUUAUAAAUUAGGGAAUUCGCAUCUUUACACUGGCUUUCCUACCCUGAAAUAUGGCACUAGUUUUGGUUUUGACUCAGGAAUUUUCUAAAAAACUAGAAUGGAAUGUUGUCCCCGUUCCCAAGCCCUUAAAGGGGAAAACGUUCUAGAAAACAUGGAAAAAUUUUAAAGACAAAGUGGUCGUAGUACCUCAUGGGUUCUACUUGUCUUACACAUCACACUAUAAUUUCUGUAGUUCAUCAAAUAUAAAACAUCUAUUUUUAGUUGCACUUGUUAUUUUACAAGGAAAAAAAAAAAACUUGAUUUACGUUUGAUACCAAACCUGAAUUUACACCAUGUAAGAAACAUUUCAAUUUCAGAAAUAGUAAAACACACCUAAUGAUACACAAAAUACUUUGGUAUAAUCUUAACAAAAUGCUCUAAGUAUGGUCAAUCCUCAUUAUUCACGGGUUCUGUAUUGGGGAAGUCACUUGCUAAAAUUUAUUUGUAACUCCAAAAUUAAUACUUAUGGUGCUUUCCUGGUCAUGCAUGAACAUGCAUAGAGCAGCAAAACAUUUUGUCACCU